This 2135-nucleotide long non-coding RNA is filed under the name Sus scrofa (pig). The record is from RNAcentral. Lineage: Eukaryota; Metazoa; Chordata; Mammalia; Artiodactyla; Suidae.
AGUAGAUGUGAAGAUGGUGGCAAGAGGUUGGAGUGAGGCCAGAAAGCAGCCAGGAACCAAGGGUGGUAGGAGGUUUUUAGAAGCUGAAAAGACAAGAAAGUAGAUUGUCCCUGGGAGCCUCCAGAAAGCACAAGCCCUGCCAACACCUUGGCUUGAGCCCAGUGAAACUGAUUUUGGACUCCUGACCUCCAGAACUGCCUAAAGUGCUGGAAUGGAAAGAAGCCUAGAAUAAGAACUAAGCAGCACAAGCUUUGGCUUCAGCUCAGCCAAUAACCAGCUGUACAAUGGUGGUGAGUCAGAACUCUGGGCCUGCCUGUUUCCUUAUCUGUGAAAACCUGUAAAGAGGGCUUCUUACUCUGUUAAAAGAGAGUGCGGCAGUAAAGUAAGAGAUCAGAAGGAAGAUGAGACUCAAAACUGGCACAGAAAACACAGGUCCUCUUGCUUUUUCUAGCAGAGCUAUCCUAAACAUCACCUUUCAUCACUAGCAUAUUAACUACUGCAAUGGAAAGAAUCUGGGACUGCAACAGUAAUUGAAUCUGUGUAUACAAUGAAUUCAGCUAUCCUAAAGACAUCCAAGGCAUCUCAAAGCUCCCGAGGUAUUUGUGUGCUCUUUCGACAGACCUGUGUAGGCAAAAGAUGAGACACAUUCACAAUUUAAUGAGGUGAUAAAGCUAAUGCAAGUCAGACUGCAGGACUUAAUGGUUUGGCUUGUCAGUCCACUUCCAAGAUAGGGAUCUAAUGUGUCAUCAAUCUGUACAACUCCCCUAUGAGGCGGUUGCUGGGCAACCAGUCUGUAAUUUGGUAGAUAUAGUAAGGCACAUCUUUGAAUCAUGAUCCCACUUGACCAUUUUCACUAAUGUAUUUACUAUUCAUCACCAUUCCCUUCCAUUUGGUUUUCUGACAGCCUAAUGUCAGUGUUCUUCAACUAAAAAUGCUUUCAGGUUUAAUGAGAUUUCCCUUUUUUACUCCAUUCAUUUUCAGCAGCAACAUUGCUAAUGGAUUGCCAAGACAUGUUGGUUUUGUUUUGUUUUUCUGUCACAGUUAUAACCAUAACUUUACUUACAUGCUCUGUACUAGAAUUAGAAGCUCAGGAUGGUCUAGAGCCACCAGCCUUCUGGAUGAUUUUAAGUCCAAAUGGCUAUAAAUGCCCCUGUGGCACUUAUUUAUGAGCUGCAUAUGGUAAAUUUUUGUGGUGCUGUUGAUAUAGGCAAUGGUACAGUGAACUAGAAAAAAAAAUCAGUGCUCCUUUGAUUAAAUUCAUCCAAAGGGCCUCAUUCAUUCAGUCAGUGACCAUUCCACAAAUGUUUUCAAAAUGUGGGCUGUGUGACUGGUAGUAUGCCACUAAGCUCUGAGGAUUCAGUUAUGAGUGCAACAGAGCCUCUGUCUCCAAGUUGCUACAUGAAGAGACAGAGAAGGAGAGAAACUUUUAUCAAUCAGAGGGACACCCGCUGAGUGAGUACAAAGGGCACUCAACCAAGACAUAGGUGGUCAGAGAAGCUCUUCCAGAGUGAUGGUCUUAAACAGGAAGUGAGUUAACCAGAAGAUCAGGAGAAAAGAGCAAGGGAAAGGGAGUAAGAUGUACAAAGACUGAGAGAGACUUGGCAGUAGGGUUGAGGAUUUGUAAGUGGUUGAGUGUGACUGGAGAAUGAUUGAUUGGAGGAUGAGAAAAUUCAGACUCUGUCUGUGCUUGGAGGAGAACUGUUAGAUCUGUUCACUAAGUUGCAGUCUCCUAACUUUAGUUUUCCAACCCAGACAAAAGAUAGUGCUUUAUGUCCCUUAGCUACUGCCUUAAAAUUUUAGGAACUGUAUCCCAUAGAUAAUAGGGUGCUAUAGUUAAAUGAUUCCAAAUUUUUCAUAUUUAUUUUUUGUGCUAAAAAUGGUAACUUUCUGCUUGAGGUUUAGACAUGGUUCCUCCACAUUGCGUUUAUUGCAAAUAGAAUAAAGCACUGUACUUUCAGUUAAUUAUUUCUUAGCAGCUGCUUUCCCAGUUGUGCACCCACGGCAUUGGAACUUGACUCGUUUCUUUUGCAGGACCACACUGUAUAGGUAGGUAGAGAACUGCAGGUGGUUUUCAAUGAAGGUAAUUGCCCACACAAUAUAUUAUUGAUGGUUCCCCAGCAGCUGACAGUUGCCAG